This is a non-coding RNA of Bemisia tabaci, 1207 nucleotides long. Lineage: Eukaryota; Metazoa; Arthropoda; Insecta; Hemiptera; Aleyrodidae. The record is from RefSeq and is a predicted model, not a curated record.
UAUUUUCGCGGUUUUUAGUUUAUGUCUUUUAUUGCAGGUUGGAGGUGAAAUUGUCUUUUCAUGGAUAGUGACUUUUCUGAGUGAUUAAAGGAAAAGCAGGAAAUAAUUUACGGAGAGAUAUGAAAUUGUAGCAAACUCUCCUGACAACGAAACGUCUUAAAGAAAAACAUUUAUAGUUCUGAUCCUUUCUGUGAAACCCGUUCUUACAGACGUGCGCGAAAAAUCACAUAAAUCCCCAAUCAACUUUUUCUGGUUCGCUGUAUCAUGCGGUGUUACCAAGAAAAGAUGGCCGGCGAAAGUUUCGAAAUUGAGUUUUCUUGGAAAUUCCAGCAAUGCAAUUGGAUUGAAUGGAAUCCGCUAACAUAGCAAAGACUUCCUUCCAAAAUACGAGGAUUGUCACGGGACAGUAAGUGCGCAGUACGUUAUUUUCGACGAAACAGCAGUAACUCCUCAUAAUCGAAUUAGAGAACUAGUUAUGGUAUUUUUACUCACUUUUCGGCAACAAUGCGUGGAUGCCGCCCGACAGGAGAACAGUAAAAUCGGAGAAGGAAGAUGAUUUGGAAGACUCAUUAUUACUCAUUAACUCAUUAUCUUAAUUAACUUCGGGAACUCUCGCUCUUCUGUGGCAGUAUGGAAGCUAGGCCAGGUUUGCCGAACAUACUCGUAACUCACGCGUUGAGAGGGGCUUCAGCACGGGGGAAAUGAAGAUGAUCUUAGACCUCGGCAAGCCUUGGUCUGAGUAAUGCUCGCCGAGCUAUGAAAACGAGAGUACACAACGGAAUUCCUGUAAAGUGACGUAAAAUUUACGUAGACUUGUUUGAUUAGUGGGUAGGCGGUUUCGGCUUCUUCUGCGUAGAAGCUCUUGCCUCUUCGCCACGAGGCUCCUUGGAUACGAAUACAUAUUCUACCGUAUUGCGGAAGAAUGAAAGAAUGUCGUAUGAGACUUUAGACAUUGCCUAAUUUGCUCAAUAUUUUCCUCCAAAUUUUUCAGGAAAGGCUCCAUAAAAAUCUCAUCUAAAAAUUUCCAAGAGAACUACUCAUUUUCUUCGAAAAUAAUGUUUCAUCGAAGGAAAUUUGGCAAUUAUCGAAUGUUUAUACGGCGUUUUUCCUGAGCACGGUAGUAUUGCUGGCACUAUACUGAUCAACAAAGAAAUCGAUGGUUGGUUUGAUCAUUUGGCCCAAUAAAUUAAACUCGGGAGCUACCCUU